AGCUACAGGCUUAACACAUGCAAGUCGAGGGGCAUCAGGAAGAAAGCUUGCUUUCUUUGCUGGCGACCGGCGCACGGGUGAGUAACACGUAUCCAACCUGCCCUUUACUCGGGGAUAGCCUUUCGAAAGAAAGAUUAAUACCCGAUAGCAUAAUGGUUCCGCAUGGUUUCAUUAUUAAAGGAUUCCGGUAAAGGAUGGGGAUGCGUUCCAUUAGGUUGUUGGUGAGGUAACGGCCCACCAAGCCUUCGAUGGAUAGGGGUUCUGAGAGGAAGGUCCCCCACAUUGGAACUGAGACACGGUCCAAACUCCUACGGGAGGCAGCAGUGAGGAAUAUUGGUCAAUGGGCGCUAGCCUGAACCAGCCAAGUAGCGUGAAGGAUGAAGGCUCUAUGGGUCGUAAACUUCUUUUAUAUAAGAAUAAAGUGCAGUAUGUAUACUGUUUUGUAUGUAUUAUAUGAAUAAGGAUCGGCUAACUCCGUGCCAGCAGCCGCGGUAAUACGGAGGAUCCGAGCGUUAUCCGGAUUUAUUGGGUUUAAAGGGAGCGUAGGUGGACUGGUAAGUCAGUUGUGGAAGUUUGCGGCUCAACCGUAAAAUUGCAGUUGAUACUGUCAGUCUUGAGUACAGUAGAGGUGGGCGGAAUUCGUGGUGUAGCGGUGAAAUGCUCAGAUAUCACGAAGAACUCCGAUUGCGAAGGCAGCUCACUGGACUGCAACUGACACUGAUGCUCGAAAGUGUGGGUAUCAAACAGGAUUAGAUACCCUGGUAGUCCACACAGUAAACGAUGAAUACUCGCUGUUUGCGAUAUACAGUAAGCGGCCAAGCGAAAGCAUUAAGUAUUCCACCUGGGGAGUACGCCGGCAACGGUGAAACUCAAAGGAAUUGACGGGGGCCCGCACAAGCGGAGGAACAUGUGGUUUAAUUCGAUGAUACGCGAGGAACCUUACCCGGGCUUAAAUUGCAGUGGAAUGAUGUGGAAACAUGUCAGUGAGCAAUCACCGCUGUGAAGGUGCUGCAUGGUUGUCGUCAGCUCGUGCCGUGAGGUGUCGGCUUAAGUGCCAUAACGAGCGCAACCCUUAUCUUUAGUUACUAACAGGUUAUGCUGAGGACUCUAGAGAGACUGCCGUCGUAAGAUGUGAGGAAGGUGGGGAUGACGUCAAAUCAGCACGGCCCUUACGUCCGGGGCUACACACGUGUUACAAUGGGGGGUACAGAAGGCAGCUAGCGGGUGACCGUAUGCUAAUCCCAAAAUCCUCUCUCAGUUCGGAUCGAAGUCUGCAACCCGACUUCGUGAAGCUGGAUUCGCUAGUAAUCGCGCAUCAGCCACGGCGCGGUGAAUACGUUCCCGGGCCUUGUACACACCGCCCGUCAAGCCAUGGGAGCCGGGGGUACCUGAAGUAUGUAACCGCAAGGAUCGUCCUAGGGUAAAACUGGUGACUGGGGCUAAGUCGU
Molecule: ribosomal RNA, 1448 nt
Filed under: uncultured organism
Description: SSU rRNA
Rfam family: Bacterial small subunit ribosomal RNA
Source: RNAcentral